Long non-coding RNA from Tachysurus fulvidraco (yellow catfish), 352 nucleotides. RefSeq lists it as uncharacterized. The record is from RefSeq and is a predicted model, not a curated record. Lineage: Eukaryota; Metazoa; Chordata; Actinopteri; Siluriformes; Bagridae. The transcript has 2 exons.
GGCUAUUUGGACAGGAGGAGCCUCCGCUGGCCUUCAGAGCUGGAAAGUAUGUGUACUGUGGCCACAGGCCCACCUCCCAGCCUGGGAACGGAAGCCGGGAGUCGCCAGGGAAAACAGCUAGACAAUCAGCAUUACUUUGGCUACACUGCUUUGUGCCAGAUGUCCUGGCAAGACUGAACUGGCAGUUGAGGAGACUGCAGGAGUACGACGUAUUCAUCUCAAUGCAGAAAAACAAGGGGAUCAACUUCCUCUAGCUCAAGAACAGUACAUUCAUGCAGUCAGAAUAGGAAAAUGUGCUAAAGGGCAAAGGUGAAUCAGACAUUUUCAAGCAAUAAAGAUUGCAGAAUGUUAA